RNAcentral lists this ribosomal RNA (597 nucleotides) under Aspergillus sp. BAB-3604. Its description in RNAcentral is "eukaryotic LSU rRNA". The stretch from base 189 to 342 matches the Rfam family "5.8S ribosomal RNA". Lineage: Eukaryota; Fungi; Ascomycota; Eurotiomycetes; Eurotiales; Aspergillaceae. The record is from RNAcentral.
UCCGUAGGUGAACCUGCGGAAGGAUCAUUACCGAGUGCGGGCUGCCUCCGGGCGCCCAACCUCCCACCCGUGACUACCUAACACUGUUGCUUCGGCGGGGAGCCCCCCAGGGGGCGAGCCGCCGGGGACCACCGAACUUCAUGCCUGAGAGUGAUGCAGUCUGAGUCUGAAUAAACAAAUCAGUCAAAAACUUUCAACAAUGGAUCUCUUGGUUCCGGCAUCGAUGAAGAACGCAGCGAACUGCGAUAAGUAAUGUGAAUUGCAGAAUUCAGUGAAUCAUCGAGUCUUUGAACGCACAUUGCGCCCCCUGGCAUUCCGGGGGGCAUGCCUGUCCGAGCGUCAUUACUGCCCUUCAAGCGCGGCUUGUGUGUUGGGUCCUCGUCCCCCCCGGGGGACGGGCCCGAAAGGCAGCGGCGGCACCGUGUCCGGUCCUCGAGCGUAUGGGGCUUUGUCACCCGCUCGAUUAGGGCCGGCCGGGCGCCAGCCAGCGUCAACUCUUCUCUUAAGGUUGACCUCGGAUCAGGUAGGGAUACCCGCUGAACUUAAGCAUAUCAAUAAGCGGAGGAAAAGAAACCAACCGGGAUUGCCCCAGUAACU